This 253-nucleotide ribosomal RNA is filed under the name uncultured bacterium. RNAcentral's name for it is "partial 16S ribosomal RNA". It matches the Rfam family "Bacterial small subunit ribosomal RNA", at positions 524 to 776 of the family's 1533-position model. The record is from RNAcentral.
UACGUAGGGUGCAAGCGUUAAUCGGAAUUACUGGGCGUAAAGCGUGCGCAGGCGGUUCGCUAAGACAGAUGUGAAAUCCCCGGGCUUAACCUGGGGACUGCAUUGGUGACUGGCAAGCUAGAGUGUGGCAGAGGGGGGUAGAAUUCCACGUGUAGCAGUGAAAUGCGUAGAUAUGCGGAGGAACACCGAUGGCGAAGGCAGCCCCCUGGGUCAAGACUGACGCUCAUGCACGAAAGCGUGGGGAGCAAACAGG